GACGAACGCUGGCGGCGUGCCUAAUACAUGCAAGUAGAACGCACAGUUUAUACCGUAGCUUGCUACACCAUAGACUGUGAGUUGCGAACGGGUGAGUAACGCGUAGGUAACCUGCCUGGUAGCGGGGGAUAACUAUUGGAAACGAUAGCUAAUACCGCAUAAUAUUGAUUAUUGCAUGAUAAUUGAUUGAAAGAUGCUAUUGCAUCACUACCAGAUGGGCCUGCGUUGUAUUAGCUAGUAGGUGAGGUAACGGCUCACCUAGGCGACGAUACAUAGCCGACCUGAGAGGGUGAUCGGCCACACUGGGACUGAGACACGGCCCAGACUCCUACGGGAGGCAGCAGUAGGGAAUCUUCGGCAAUGGACGAAAGUCUGACCGAGCAACGCCGCGUGAGUGAAGAAGGUUUUCGGAUCGUAAAGCUCUGUUGUAAGAGAAGAACGGGUGUGAGAGUGGAAAGUUCACACUGUGACGGUAUCUUACCAGAAAGGGACGGCUAACUACGUG
Molecule: ribosomal RNA, 505 nt
Filed under: uncultured bacterium
Lineage: Bacteria
Description: partial 16S ribosomal RNA
Rfam family: Bacterial small subunit ribosomal RNA
Source: RNAcentral